AAAUCGGUUCUUCUCAGAACCACAAAUUCUGCUAGUCACAUCUCU
Molecule: non-coding RNA, 45 nt
Organism: Agrilus planipennis (emerald ash borer)
Lineage: Eukaryota; Metazoa; Arthropoda; Insecta; Coleoptera; Buprestidae
Source: Rfam